Molecule: ribosomal RNA, 1424 nt
Filed under: Enterobacter sp.
Lineage: Bacteria; Pseudomonadati; Pseudomonadota; Gammaproteobacteria; Enterobacterales; Enterobacteriaceae
Description: bacterial SSU rRNA
Rfam family: Bacterial small subunit ribosomal RNA
Source: RNAcentral
ACUAUCAAGUGAGGGCGAACUCCCGCAAGUCGAGCUACCUCAUUCUGUAGCUUGCUACUCCGAUGACGAGUGGCGGGCGGGUGAGUAAUGUCUGGGAAACUGCCUACCGGAGGGGGAUAACUACUGGAAACGGUAGCUCCUACCGCAUGGCGUCGCAAGACCAAAGAGGGACUCCUUCGGGCCUCUUGCCAUCUGAUGUGCCCAGAUGGGAUUAGCUAGUAGGUGCCAUAACGGCUCAUGUAGGCGACGAUCCCUAGCUGGUCUGAGAACUUGACCAGCCACACUGGAACUGAGACACGGUCCAGACUCCUUUGGGAGGCAGCAGUGGGGAAUAUUGCACAAUGGGCGCGCUCCUUGUGGGACCAUGCCGCGUGUAUGAAGAAGGCCUUCGGGCCUUAAAGUACUUUCAGCGUUGAGGAAGGCGAUAAGGUUAAUAACCAGGUCGAUUGACGUUAAGAGCAGAAGAAGUUCCGGCUUGCUCCGUGCCAGCAGCCGCGGUAAUACGGAUUGUGCAAGCGUUCGUCGGAAUUACUGGGUUUAAAGCUUGCGCAGGCACUCUGUCAAGUCGGAUGUGAAAUCCCCGGGCUCAACCUGGGGGCUGCAUUCGAAACUGGCAGGCUAGAGUCUUGUAGAGGGGGGUAGAAUUCCAUUUGUAGCCCUGAAAUGCGUUCGGAUCUGGAGGAAUACCGGUGGCGAAGGCGGCCCCCUGGACAAAGACUUUCGCUCAGGUGCGAAAGCGUUUGGAGCAAACAGGAUUAGAUACCCUGGUAGUCCACGCCGUAAACGAUGUCGACUUGGAGGUUGUGCCCUUGAGGCGUGGCUUCCGGAGCUAACUUGUUAAGUCGACCGCCUGGGGAGUACGGCCGCAAGGUUAAAACUCAAAUGAAUUGACGGGGGCCCGCACAAGCGGUGGAGCAUGUGGUUUAAUUCGAUGCAACGCGAAUCGCCUUGGUUACUCUUGACAUCCAGCCAACUUGCCAGAGAUGCUUUACAGCCUUCGGGAACUCUGAGACAGGUGCUGCAUGGCUGUCGUCAGCUCGUGUUGUGAAAUGUUCACUUAAGUCCCGCAACGAGCGCAACCCGGGUCCUUUGUUGCCAGCGGGCUGGCCAUCAACUCAAAGGAGACUGCCAGUGAUAAACUGGAGGAAGGUCCCCAUGACGUCAAGUCAUCAUGGCCCUUUUGAGUAGGGCUACACACGUGCUACAAUGGCGUGGACAAAGAGAAGCGACCUCUCGAGAGCAAGCGGAUUUCAUAAAGUGCGUCGUCCUCCGGAUUGGAGUCUGCUUCUCGACUCCAUGAAGUCGGAAUAAAUAGUAAUAGUAAAUCAGAAUGAAACGGUGAAUACGUUCCCAAACCUUGUACACAUGGCCCGUCACACCAUAAACGUGGGUUGCAAAAGAACCAGGUAGGUUCAGGGCUGGGG